CGCUAUCAUCAUUAACUUUUAUUUAUUACCGUCAUUCGACUCUGAAUGUCCGUUUACCCCAAUUCUCGCCGAAUGCUCUGCAUUCGGCUUUUUUU
This 95-nucleotide non-coding RNA is filed under the name Pseudescherichia vulneris NBRC 102420. Its description in RNAcentral is "Escherichia vulneris NBRC 102420 MicF RNA". It matches the Rfam family "MicF RNA". Rfam says of the family: The micF gene is a stress response gene found in Escherichia coli and related bacteria that post-transcriptionally controls expression of the outer membrane porin gene ompF. The record is from Rfam by way of RNAcentral. Lineage: Bacteria; Pseudomonadati; Pseudomonadota; Gammaproteobacteria; Enterobacterales; Enterobacteriaceae.